Molecule: long non-coding RNA, 1813 nt
Organism: Bactrocera oleae (olive fruit fly)
Lineage: Eukaryota; Metazoa; Arthropoda; Insecta; Diptera; Tephritidae
Source: RefSeq, a predicted model, not a curated record
UUUGGAGCAAAAAAUUAAAAUACGGUUGACAUACAUAUGGUUUCUUUAGUAUACUACAAUAUGUACUAUAUGCAGGGCUGCAAACCGGUUUUGAACCGAACCGGAAUGGACCCGGCUAUUUUUACAAGCGUUGAACCGUAUCAAGAACCGAACCGAUUUUAUUUAAAAAUGGGAGAACCGAACCGAAAAUCUAUCAAAAAAAUGGCUCGCUUUGGUUCAAAAUGAAAAUAAGCCCAAAUAAACACUAAUGAACGACUUGCUUAAAAUGCAACCCUGCUACAAAUUAUUUGAUGGAACGCCAUAAGUAAAGCUACAUUUGACACGUUGGAGGCACGCACCAGAGUGCCCUCCACACCUCACCGUUUCGGUAAAGUGUAGCUUCAUAGUCUGUCCUGUACCAACAGCUUUAAAGCUUACUCCGAUUCAAUAUAUGUGUCUUCUAUUGUCUUUUCCUACUGCAAUCUACUUUCCAUAAAAGCGGACAGUGUUAGUCGAUUAGGUUCAUAAUAGGAAUAAAUGCACAAUACAUUGAAAAUGGAGAUUUGCUAAUACACUCUCUGCCAAUAAAAGAAAUAUUUGGGAAUUUCUUUCUUUCCUUAAAAGCGGACAGUGUUAGUCGAUUAGGUUCAUAAUAGAAAUAAAUGCACAAUACAGUGAAAAUGAAGAUUUGCUAAUACACACUCUGUCAAUAAAAGAAAUAUUUGUGAAAGCAGAAUAUAAUAAUUGAAGUUUUAAAAUCAUAUAAAAUAAAUAUGGACAGAAUGUCGGAAACUUUCUUAAUAAAAAUGCUCAAAACUUCCAUCAAAGUCAACGGCUGUAUACUGAAGAAGAAGGAAAUGAAGUCACGUAUUCACAAGAUUUAGAUUUUGACAUUGAUGAUGGUAGCAGUGGAGAAAUUUCCGGCGCAACCAUUCCAAAUUCCACGUUUUUUAUAUCAUAACUCCGUAAGUGUCAUUAGGUGUGCUGCACAUACCCCAAAUUUAGCAGUGUCAGAUUUCCUAAAGGAAAUUUAUGAAAUCCGCAGCAAAUUGAAAUCCGUAGUAAAAAAGCUUAGACAUACAUACCUUGUUGAAUCUGUUACGACUAGAAAACUUAAAUAAGCCAGCUAUGGAAUGCGUGACUAGAUGGCGGUGAACAUACAACAUCAAAAAAACGUUGGGUGGUUAAGCCGCAAGUUUCUGACUGCAUUAACAGAAUGAGGGGAAUAUUAACUAACUAAUUCUAGUGCUUUAGCUGUCGUUUAUUUAGACCCCAGGCAUCAGAUUUUAUUAUAAGACUCAGAAAAAAGAUUUUGCAAAAAAACAUUUGAUUAAAGUUUUCGAUCUCAAAUCUAAAAUACAAUAUUUAGGAACUGGAAUCCAUACUUGAACAAUUAAAUAAAAAGGAAACUUUACCAACUAGAAAAACGAUUGUGAACAUAAUUAAUUGUUUUGACAAUAUUUAACAUCUUUUACUACUUGCAGAUAUUUUGCAAUUUCGGCAAAACUAUACAGUGAAAAAGUUAAAAAGUUUAGCCGAGAUCGCGUUAGGUGCUCCUGCAAAUCAAAUGUCGGUCGAAAGAGCAUUUUCAACUAUACAAUUUAUUUUAUCAGACUUAAGAGCAAGUAUAGACAAAGACUUAUUAGAAGACAUUCUUUUAAUAAACUUAUAUGCUGAGUAAUCAAGAAAUCGUUAUUGCUGCGAUUUAUAAAAUAUCUUAUUAAAAAUGUUAAUCGAAGUAACAUGCUUGUAGCCUUUUGCUAUAUUAACCUCAGAUAUGUCACUUCUUUAAGUAUAAAUUCGCUCCAAUAAAAGUAUGUGUAAUUAUAUAAUA